This 470-nucleotide ribosomal RNA is filed under the name uncultured bacterium. RNAcentral describes it as "partial 16S ribosomal RNA". It matches the Rfam family "Bacterial small subunit ribosomal RNA", at positions 29 to 507 of the family's 1533-position model. The record is from RNAcentral.
AUUGAACGCUGGCGGCAGGCCUAACACAUGCAAGUCGAACGGUAACAGGAAGAAGCUUGCUUCUUUGCUGACGAGUGGCGGACGGGUGAGUAAUGUCUGGGAAACUGCCUGAUGGAGGGGGAUAACUACUGGAAACGGUAGCUAAUACCGCAUAACGUCGCAAGACCAAAGAGGGGGACCUUCGGGCCUCUUGCCAUCGGAUGUGCCCAGAUGGGAUUAGCUAGUAGGUGGGGUAACGGCUCACCUAGGCGACGAUCGCUAGCUGGUCUGAGAGGAUGACCGGCCACAGUGGGCCUGAGAUACGGCACAGACUCCUGCGGGAGGCAGCAGUGGGGAAGAUUGCACAAUGGGCGGCAGCCUGAUGCAGCAAAGCAGCGUGCGGGAUGACGGCCAUCGGGUUGUACACCGCUUUCGCCUGUGACGAAGCGUGAGUGACGGUAAUGGGUAAAGAAGCACCGGCUAACUACGUG